AUCUAGUUGAUGUGUCCUAAAUAUGACGAAACUAGAUUCCUGGAU
Schistosoma haematobium is the source of this 45-nucleotide non-coding RNA. NCBI's taxonomy places the organism in Eukaryota, Metazoa, Platyhelminthes, Trematoda, Strigeidida, Schistosomatidae. The record is from Rfam.